UACGGAGGGUGCAAGCGUUGUCCGGAAUCACUGGGCGUAAAGGGCGCGUAGGCGGCUAUGUAAGUCACUUGUGAAAUCCCGGGGCUCAACUCCGGGGCCGCAGGUGAGACUGUGUGGCUAGAGCAUGGUAGAGGCGAGUGGAAUUCCCGGUGUAGCGGUGGAAUGCGUAGAUAUCGGGAAGAACACCGGUGGCGAAGGCGGCUCGCUGGGCCAUUGCUGACGCUGAGGCGCGAAAGCUAGGGGAGCGAAUGGG
This 253-nucleotide ribosomal RNA is filed under the name uncultured bacterium. Its description in RNAcentral is "partial 16S ribosomal RNA". It matches the Rfam family "Bacterial small subunit ribosomal RNA", at positions 524 to 776 of the family's 1533-position model. The record is from RNAcentral.